RNAcentral lists this long non-coding RNA (1066 nucleotides) under Salmo salar (Atlantic salmon). RNAcentral describes it as "lncRNA (ENSSSAG00000114909.1)". The record is from RNAcentral. Lineage: Eukaryota; Metazoa; Chordata; Actinopteri; Salmoniformes; Salmonidae.
GGUAAAUCAUGCUGUGUUUAUUGUACGGAGAGAGAAACUCUUCAGAAAUAACACCAAUACAAGAUAUCAGGUGUUUAAAUAUGGACAUAUUGGUCCCAUAGCAUUCACCAGCAACAUGAACAUGUUCAGGACAAUCAGGAAGGUAGAGGACAUGAGCAUGUUCAGGACAAUCAGGAAAAUAAAGGACAUGAGCAUGUUCAGGACAAUCAGGAAGGUAGAGGACAUGAGCAUGUUCAGGACAAUCAGGAAGGUAGAGGACAUGAGCAUGUUCAGGACAAUCAGGAAGGUAGAGGACAUGAGCAUGUUCAGGACAAUCAGGAAGAUAGGACAUGUUCAGGACAAUCAGGAAGGUAGAGGACAUGAGCAUGUUCAGGACAAUCAGGAAGAUAGGACAUGUUCAGGACAAUCAGGAAGGUAGAGGACAUGAACAUGUUCAGGACAAUCAGGAAGGUAGAGGACAUGUUCAGGACAAUCAGGAAGGUAGAGGAGAUGUUCAGGACAAUCAGGAAGGUAGAGGAGAUGUUCAGGACAAUCAGGAAGGGAGAGGACAUGUUCAGGACAAUCAGGAAGGUAGAGGACAUGAACAUGUUCAGGACAAUCAGGAAGGUAGAGGACAUGAACAUGUUCAGGACAAUCAGGAAGGUAGAGGACAUGUUCAGGACAAUCAGGAAGGUAGAGGACAUGAACAUGUUCAGGACAAUCAGGAAGGUAGAGGACAUGAACAUGUUCAGGCCAAUCAGGAAGAUAGAGGACAUGAACAUGUUCAGGACAAUCAGGAAGGUUGAGGACAUGUUCAGGACAAUCAGGAAGGUAGAGGCUAGAAACAUUUCAAUCAAACAGCCCAGAAACACAAUAUUACACAUUCAGUGUGAAAGUUAGACAUUGUAUAACAUGUAGAACAUUAAAUAAUAAAUAUAGUGUCAAAGCUUUUUACCCUCUAAACUGGACUUGAUGGGAAUGAAGACAGGAGAUAUGAGGGGGGUGAUACUGAUGGGAGAUAUGGGGGGGGUGAUACUGAUGGGAGAUAUGGGGGGGGGUGAUACUGAUGGGAGAUAUGAGGGGGGGG